RNAcentral lists this ribosomal RNA (366 nucleotides) under uncultured organism. Its description in RNAcentral is "bacterial SSU rRNA". It matches the Rfam family "Bacterial small subunit ribosomal RNA", at positions 526 to 896 of the family's 1533-position model. The record is from RNAcentral.
CGGAGGAUCCAAGCGUUAUCCGGAAUCAUUGGGUUUAAAGGGUCCGUAGGCGGGUUUAUAAGUCAGUGGUGAAAGCCCACCGCUCAACGAUGGAACGGCCAUUGAUACUGUAGAUCUUGAAUUAUUAGGAAGUAACUAGAAUAUGUAGUGUAGCGGUGAAAUGCUUAGAGAUUACAUGGAAUACCAAUUGCGAAGGCAGGUUACUACUAAUGGAUUGACGCUGAUGGACGAAAGCGUGGGUAGCGAACAGGAUUAGAUACCCUGGUAGUCCACGCCGUAAACGAUGGAUACUAGCUGUUCGGAGCAAUCUGAGUGGCUAAGCGAAAGUGAUAAGUAUCCCACCUGGGGAGUACGUUCGCAAGAAUG